This is a long non-coding RNA of Mytilus californianus (California mussel), 758 nucleotides long. RefSeq lists it as uncharacterized. Lineage: Eukaryota; Metazoa; Mollusca; Bivalvia; Mytilida; Mytilidae. The transcript has 3 exons. The record is from RefSeq and is a predicted model, not a curated record.
CAUUCUGUUGCGGACUUUGGUCAAAGAAAGAGAAAGAUGGAGUCCCCUAGAAAUGAAAAUAAGCUGAAUGGAAUUUCGUUUUCAAGGAAGAAGAGUCCGAAGCUUACUUAUGCCGGAGAGUUCUGAUGAAUCACCAAAGAAAAGAAAAACUCAAAGUUCUAAUAGUGGCCUGGGUGCAGUGUAUUCGAAUUAUCAACAGUGCUCCUCAAAUAAAGAAAAUAAAAGAAAAAGAUUUUACUUUCUAUGAGUACCCACAGCAUCUUCAAGCAGAACAAUGGAUAUUGAUCAGACCAGACAGUCUGGAGAAUUUACCAUGAAUAGAAGUAACAAAAGUGACAGCAACACAUUCGAUUGGUUUAAUGGAUAUUUUGGACAGGAGUAGCAGACUGGUACAUUGAUUCCAAAAUCUUGAACAAACAACAACUGAACACAUUCUUGUCUCUUUUAAGUGGGAUAAUGUUAAUCUUUACAAAAUGCCAGCACAAUUGAAAUUAAUAUGGGAUAGUUGAAAGAAGAAAUUUCAAAAUGAUACAUAUUAUCACAAUGUUGAAUUUAGACAAUCUCUAUUUUUGUGAAACAGUUUUUUUUAAACUUUAAAUACUGUGAUGAUCUACAAAACAUUAUUAAAAGAUGAACAUGUAAGUCUCAAGUGUGAUCCAGUUUUUAACCGCUUUUCGCUUGAAAAAAAAUCAAGCUUUUUUAAAUUUAUGAAGUGACAACAAUUGUUUUUACUGGAUUUACAUUGAAUAAAUAAUAUU